RNAcentral lists this ribosomal RNA (301 nucleotides) under uncultured bacterium. Its description in RNAcentral is "partial 16S ribosomal RNA". It matches the Rfam family "Bacterial small subunit ribosomal RNA", at positions 509 to 807 of the family's 1533-position model. The record is from RNAcentral.
CAGCCGCCGCGGUAAUACGAAGGGGGCUAGCGUUGUUCGGAUUCACUGGGCGUAAAGCGCACGUAGGCGGAUCCUUAAGUCAGAGGUGAAAUCCCAAGGCUCAACCUUGGAACUGCCUUUGAUACUGGGGAUCUCGAGUCCGGGAGAGGUGAGUGGAACUGCGAGUGUAGAGGUGAAGUUCGUAGAUAUUCGCAAGAACACCAGUGGCGAAGGCGGCUCACUGGCCCGGUACUGACGCUGAGGUGCGAAAGCGUGGGGAGCAAACAGGAUUAGAUACCCCCGUAGUCCCUGUCUCUUAUAC